This 119-nucleotide ribosomal RNA is filed under the name Prolemur simus (greater bamboo lemur). Lineage: Eukaryota; Metazoa; Chordata; Mammalia; Primates; Lemuridae. The record is from RNAcentral.
GUCUAUGGCCAUAUCACCCUGAACGUGCCUGAUCUUGUCUGAUCCCGUGAAGCUAAUCAGCAUUGGAACUGGUUAGUACUUGGAUGGAAGAAAAUAGGCAAAAAGUAAGCACAAAGGGA